GGGUAUAGCGUAGCCCGGUUAUCGCGCCUGCUUUGGGAGCAGGAGGUCGCAGGUUCGAAUCCUGCUACC
RNAcentral lists this transfer RNA (69 nucleotides) under marine eukaryotic metagenome. It matches the Rfam family "tRNA". Rfam says of the family: Transfer RNA (tRNA) molecules are approximately 80 nucleotides in length. Their secondary structure includes four short double-helical elements and three loops (D, anti-codon, and T loops). Further hydrogen bonds mediate the characteristic L-shaped molecular structure. tRNAs have two regions of fundamental functional importance: the anti-codon, which is responsible for specific mRNA codon recognition, and the 3' end, to which the tRNAs corresponding amino acid is attached (by aminoacyl-tRNA synthetases). tRNAs cope with the degeneracy of the genetic code in two manners: having more than one tRNA (with a specific anti-codon) for a particular amino acid; and 'wobble' base-pairing, i.e. permitting non-standard base-pairing at the 3rd anti-codon position. The record is from RNAcentral.